CUUGACGUCCUACGUGGAUAACUGUGGUAAUUCUAGAGCUAAUACAUGCACCAAAGCUCCGAUUUUUUGAAGAGCGCAUCUAUUAGAUUAAAACCAAUCGGGUUCGCGCCCGUCAAUUGGUGACUCUGAAUAACUAUAGCUGAUCGCAUGGUCUUGAACCGGCGACGUGUCUAUCAAGUGUCUGCCUUAUCAACUUUCGAUGGUAGUUUAUGUGCCUACCAUGGUUGUAACGGGUAACGGAGAAUAAGGGUUCGACUCCGGAGAGGGAGCCUGAGAAACGGCUACCACAUCCAAGGAAGGCAGCAGGCGCGCAAAUUACCCACUCUCGGCAAGAGGAGGUAGUGACGAAAAAUAACGAGACCGUACUCUUUGAGGCCGGUUAUCGGAAUGGGUACAAUUUAAACCCGUUAACGAGGAUCUAUGAGAGGGCAAGUCUGGUGCCAGCAGCCGCGGUAAUUCCAGCUCUCAAAGUGUAUAUCGUCAUUGCUGCGGUUAAAAAGCUCGUAGUUGGAUCUGCGCCUCAGGACUUGGUCCGCCCACUGGGCGAGAACUAGGCUCCUGGGCUAGUUCUGCUGGUUUUCUCUACGUUGCCUUCAUCGGUCGCGUAGGGUGGCUAGCGAGUUUACUUUGAAAAAAUUAGAGUGCUUCACGCGAGCUUAUGUCUGAAUACUCGUGCAUGGAAUAAUAGAAUAGGAUCUCGGUUCUAUUUUGUUGGUUUUCUGAUCUGAGAUAAUGGUUAAGAGGGACGGACGGGGGCAUUCGUAUCGCUGCGUGAGAGGUGAAAUUCUUGGACCGUAGCGAGACGCCCGACUGCGAAAGCAUUUGCCAAGAAUGUCUUCAUUAAUCAAGAACGAA
This 855-nucleotide ribosomal RNA is filed under the name Contracaecum sp. eckkjymsyny. RNAcentral describes it as "SSU rRNA". It matches the Rfam family "Eukaryotic small subunit ribosomal RNA", at positions 125 to 987 of the family's 1831-position model. The record is from RNAcentral. Lineage: Eukaryota; Metazoa; Nematoda; Chromadorea; Rhabditida; Anisakidae.